UGUCACUCGGCUCGGCCCACUACC
This 24-nucleotide non-coding RNA is filed under the name Callithrix jacchus (white-tufted-ear marmoset). RNAcentral also lists the same sequence under 2 other names. The record is from RNAcentral. Lineage: Eukaryota; Metazoa; Chordata; Mammalia; Primates; Cebidae.